GUUAAUGAAUAUCCUAGCCAGCCGAUGAGGGAUCCCAAGUGCUUGCUCGCAGAAAAGCUGUUUCCAUGUUUAAAAUGCAUAGAGAGUAAGAGCUGGGUAAGACGGGUGCCAGCCGCCGCGGUAAUACCUGCAGCUCGAGUGGUGACCGCUAUUAUUGGGCCUAAAACGUCCGUAGCCGGUUUAAUAAAUGCCUGGGUAAAUCGUGUAGCUUAACUAUACGAAUUCCGGGUAGACUGUUAAACUUGAGACCGGGAGAAGCUAGAGGUACUCCUGGGGUAGAGGUGAAAUUCUGUAAUCCUAGGGGGACCACCAGUGGCGAAGGCGUCUAGCUAGAACGGGUCUGACGGUGAGGGACGAAGCCCUGGGGCGCGAACCGGAUUAGAUACCCGGGUAGUCCAGGGUGUAAACGCUGCUUGCUUGAUGUUAGUUGGGCUCUGAGCCCAAUUAGUGUCGGAGAGAAGUUGUUAAACAAGCUGCCUGGAAAGUACGAUCGCAAGGUUGAAACUUAAAGGAAUUGGCGGGGGAGCACAGCAACGGGGGGGAGCGUGCGGUUUAAUUGGAUUCAACGCCGGAAAACUCACCGGAGGCGACGGUUACAUGAAGGCCAGGCUGAUGACCUUGCUUGAUUUUCCGAGAGGUGGUGCAUGGCCCCGCCAGUUCUUACCGUAGGGCGUUCUGUUAGUCAGAUAACGAACGAGACCUCAUCUUUAAUUGCACUUUAAGUCGCUAAUAGGCCUUUAAAGAAACGCUGGCAUAAUCAAAGAAGCGAGGCACGUAGGUCAUAUGCCUGAAUCUCGGGUAAACGCGCGCUAAAAGCUAGGCAAUGGCCUGACACGAAAGGUGAAGAUAAUCUCGAACUAGCAUAGUUCGGAUUGAGGUUGAACUCACCUCAUGAGCUGGAAUCUGAGUAUGCGAUCACUCCGCGGUGAAAUGCCUGCUCUUGCAAACGAGGCGAUUCGUUUAACUGAGACUGUCUUAGGAGGUAAUCUGAGCUGCAUCUGCAGUGUGUUUCAGAAUCUUCAAGAUUACCAUGAGCGUUAAUCAUUAG
RNAcentral lists this ribosomal RNA (1048 nucleotides) under uncultured archaeon. Its description in RNAcentral is "partial 16S ribosomal RNA". It matches the Rfam family "Archaeal small subunit ribosomal RNA", at positions 341 to 1478 of the family's 1478-position model. The record is from RNAcentral.